This 382-nucleotide ribosomal RNA is filed under the name uncultured eukaryote. Its description in RNAcentral is "partial 18S ribosomal RNA". It matches the Rfam family "Eukaryotic small subunit ribosomal RNA", at positions 592 to 976 of the family's 1831-position model. The record is from RNAcentral.
UGUAAGCGUAUACCAAAGUUGUUGCAGUUAAAACGCUCGUAGUCGGAAUUUGGCAGUUCCGGAUGUGUGCACGUCGUGUGCGCACUUCGCGGGGAUUGCUUUUGUGGUCUUGCGUAGGAUGAGGCACUUUUAUUAGUGAACGUCCUCACGCAACCACUUAUUACUGUGAGAAAAUCAGAGUGCUCAAAGCAGGCAUUUGCCGUGAAUGUAUUAGCAUGGAAUAAUAGAAUAGGACUUGGUUCUAUUUUGUUGGUUUGUUGGGACUGAGUAAUGAUUAAGAGGGACAGUUGGGGGCAUUUGUAUUUCGGUGCUAGAGGUGAAAUUCUUAGAUUACCGAAAGACAAACUGCUGCGAAAGCGUCUGCCAAGGAUGUUUUCAUUGA